GGGGUUAUAGCUCAGCUGGUUAGAGCGCUACGUUGACAUCGUAGAGGUCAUUGGUUCGAUCCCAACUAACCCCACCA
RNAcentral lists this transfer RNA (77 nucleotides) under Clostridiales bacterium. Its description in RNAcentral is "tRNA-Val". It matches the Rfam family "tRNA". From Rfam's summary of the family: Transfer RNA (tRNA) molecules are approximately 80 nucleotides in length. Their secondary structure includes four short double-helical elements and three loops (D, anti-codon, and T loops). The record is from RNAcentral. Lineage: Bacteria; Bacillati; Bacillota; Clostridia; Eubacteriales. RNAcentral also lists the same sequence under 3 other names.